Molecule: ribosomal RNA, 671 nt
Filed under: uncultured bacterium
Lineage: Bacteria
Description: bacterial SSU rRNA
Rfam family: Bacterial small subunit ribosomal RNA
Source: RNAcentral
AGAGUUUGAUCCUGGCUCAGGAUGAACGCUGGCGGCGUGCCUAACACAUGCAAGUCGAGCGGAGCAAUCUUGAUGAAGUUUUCGGAUGGAAUCAGGAUUGACUUAGCGGCGGACGGGUGAGUAACACGUGGAUAACCUGCCUUAUACUGGGGGAUAACAGCCAGAAAUGGCUGCUAAUACCGCAUAAGCGCACGGCGCCGCAUGGCGCAGUGUGAAAAACUCCGGUGGUAUAAGAUGGAUCCGCGCCUGAUUAGCUAGUUGGCGGGGCAGCGGCCCACCAAGGCGACGAUCAGUAGCCGGCCUGAGAGGGCGACCGGCCACAUUGGGACUGAGACACGGCCCAAACUCCUACGGGAGGCAGCAGUGGGGAAUAUUGCACAAUGGGGGGAACCCUGAUGCAGCGACGCCGCGUGAGUGAAGAAGUAUUUCGGUAUGUAAAGCCCUGUCAGCAGGGAAGAAAAUGACGGUACCUGACUAAGAAGCCCCGGCUAACUACGUGCCAGCAGCCGCGGUAAUACGUAGGGGGCGAGCGUUAUCCGGAUUUACUGGGUGUAAAGGGAGCGCAGGCGGCGUGGCAAGUCAGAUGUGAAAACCCGGGGCCCAACCCCGGGACUGCAUUUGAAACUGCCAUGCUGGAGUGCCGGAGAGGCAAGUGGAAUUCCUAGUGUAGC